CCCAUAUUUCUUUUCCACAAAGGAAAAGAGCAUAUACACACAUAAAUUCCAUCCAAUUGGUGGCCCACAGUGAAGAAAAACAUAUACAAAAGGCCAUUCAUUUUUUCUUUUCUUCUUGACCAAUUCAUAUAUACAUAGAACAAACAAAAUACAAAAAUAGACACCUCACACCAUUAACAGAGGGCAACACACACUUGCCCUUUCGAAUAAAAACCUCACUGAAGUACUCACAGAGGGAGAGCACACUGACCCUCACGCAUAUCACACACACACACUUUAUUUUUUUUUUCUUCUCCACCGAGAAAACACACCCAGAUAUACACCAUUACACCACUCACACGGAGAUGGAAUACGUGCACACUCUCACUGAUUGAAGAGGUCACCAUUUUUCUAUUUUUCUUUAACAACGCACGACAACACCAUGGAGAGAAUACCUACAAAAAUAGAGAAAAGAAAACUCAAAUAAAACACACUACAAAUUGAAACCUCACCGGAAAAGUUCACUCACUCACUCACGAAUAGCUCACCAUACGCACACACGCCGUGUAUAAACACGCCACACACUGAAAACCGAGAGUUGAGGGUGUGAUCGGAGUAAUCGAGAAAGUGCGAUUCGAGUGAGAGAGAGAUCAAAACAGAGAGAAGGAUCGAAAGAUUGAGAGCAAAACACAAAGGGGAACCGAUUGGGAAGGAGGGUGGUGCGAUCGGAUUCCGGCAACGUCCAUCGAAAUCGUGGUUUGGUUCGGUUCUGCCUGAAAUCGGGUCGGGCUUUGGAUUUAUCCGUCUUCGCGAUUCAUUUUCAAUAUUGUGAUUCUCGGGUUACUCGAUUCAUGCCCGCGGAUUUCUGUUCGAAUUGGAUUUCGUGAAUAUUCCGUGUUUGGAGUUCGGUUGAUAGUCGAGUCGGUAUUCGUUGAGGUUCUCAGUACGGCUCUUUAUUCUCUUAUUCAAAUCAAUCGAAAGAGUCAUUGAGGUCCAAUUCUAUUUCAUUCUCAUUUUGAUUUCAUUAUAUACGCAUGAUUGAUGGAUAUCAUCUCAAUUUUCUCUUAUUUUAGGUGUGAUAUGAAUGAUUAAUUUGGAAUUAUUUGAUUGUGGAUUUUUGAAAAAUGGUAAUCGUGAACUGUUAUAUUGCAACUUUGAAUAAAAUUUGGGGGAAUUGAUAAUCGAAUAAGUAAAACGUUGAUUAGUUUUGAUUCAUUGUUGGAUAUUAUUGAAAUUGAUAGUAUCAUGUUUUAGAUCGUUAAAUGUGUAGGCAAAUACUAAGUUUGGGUAGGCAAAUUGUAGAAAUGGAAGAUGGUGACUUGUGGAAUGUGUGAAUAUUUGUUGAAUGGUUCUUUCUAUUUUAACGCAUAAAAUUGAGGAUGUAUUCAUUUUGCCGGGGAAUGCCCCGAGGUACUUGUAUCCAUUCAUCGAGAAAUAUUCCGACAUAUCAUGUACGCAAAGAAGGUUCGUGAUGAAGGCUUGAGGCAUCGGGUAAAGCAUUGGAGUAUAGUUUAGGAUUAGUCUAAAUAGGAUUUCUAUUUUUGUAUUGUUCUAUUUUUGGACUGUAUAAUUCGUACUGGACAUUAUUUUGAUUUUUGAAUUUUGAAUUGCAUGACAUGUACUUACUUUUUUUAAUAUGUGAAUGUGAAUUAGUUGAUUAACUUAAUUAUUUUAUGUAAAUAUUAAUGGCCUAAGUUUUGCCUAAAAUUGAUGAAAUUAUAUAAAUAAAGAAUAUCCCGACCGACACCCAAAAAGCAAAAUUUUCACUAUUUUUUUUUUGUUAUUUAUACAAGUGUGAGAAUAUAAAAUACAAUAUAAAAUUUAAGGGCCUCUUUGACUGCAACUCCCGACGAAUAUUUCAAAAUAACCUGUAUAAACACUAAAAAAAAAAGAAUAUUAGUAACAAAUAAUCAAAAUAAAUUGAACAAGCAUCAAAAUAAAUUGAACAAGUGUGUAUGCGUAUAAAUAUUUAAAAAUAUAUUUUUUAUUAAAAAGUGGGCUCAGAUAAUGUCAUGACUGCGAAAUGGUUGCUCAAUUAAUUGGCCGUUCUAAAUCGUCUUGCAACGAAGUGGUUGCUCAAUUAAUUGGCCGUCCUAAAUCGUCUUGCCAAGAUAUGAAUUGUAAAAUCUUGUGUUAUAAAGUUUCAUCAUCGCCCAAAAAAUAUUUAUUUAUUACGUAUGUAUACGUAAAAAGUCCGUCUUUUGUUUACGGAUGCCUCAAAAUUAAUAAUAAUUUUUUCAUUGGCCAAAUGUGUAGUAUCCAUUCACCAUCAGUGUAAAUAAAUGAGAAGGACAAAAAUCGUUCAAAAAUCACUCCAACAGCAGCAAACUCAAGGCAAACAAAAAUGGUCAAUAACAGUGAUAGUAAAAUAGCAAAGCUAACAGAGACAAACUCACUAUCUAAUUAAUUCAAAUAUCCAUCCAAACGGCUUUGACUAGAUCUGUGUAGUAAGAAAAAUAUUAGAGAAAAGGGGCGGCUCGUGGCUGUUUCUCGAUGUUGGUAGCGACUGUUGUAGUGGUUGACGGCGGCAGAUCUGGGAAGAAAUUCGAUGCUCAUCGGUCAUCACCUCCGGCUAGCUUGCGGCAAAAUGUAAAGGGAAAGCUUGUAGCGUGGGGGGUGGUAUUGUCGGACGGCUGUUUCAGGGAAGAAAAUUGUGUGGAGGUGGCGCGUGAGAUUGGAUGAACUGUUGAUAUCUACGGAGAAGACGAAAGCUUAAAAAUGAAAACUGUGUAGUAGGCAUCUAUAUAUAUAUUUAUAUGUGUGUCAUUGCUGUUGAUGGUAAAAAAUAAAACAAAAAUGGAGGUUGUUUUUCUAUGUAUGUGUGUGUUUAUGUGUUUUUAUAUAUAUUUUUUGUGAGUUUUUGAAGAGAAAAAUGAAAUAAAUAAAAUAUGCUUGUAUAUUUAUGAAUAUGUGUGUGAGUUUGCAAAGAAAAAAUGUUUAUGAGUUGUAAAAAAUAAAUAUAUGUGUAUUUUGAUAGAGAGGAAAAAAAUGAACAAAAAUGUGUGUCCAAAAUGUGUCCUCCCACCAGCUAUUUAUACAAAAAAUUGAGCACACCUUUUAUCCAAUGUAUAAAGGAGUGUCCUCUCUUUUUAUAAUAAAACACUCUUAGGUCCUUAAGUUAUUGGCCAAAGGAUUUUCAUCCUUUUGACCAAUGGACAAAGUAAUUAUCCAAAGGGUAGUGUCAUUGAUUGGUCGUUGUCAGAUGUGAUGAGACAACACUGAAUGGUCAUUUUCGGACGUGACAAGACAUUAUUGUGUAGUCGUUGUCGGAUGUGAUAAGACAUCGAAUUAUUAUACUGCACAAAAAUAAUUGAUCCGAUUGAGUAUUUGCGGACUGUAAAAUAUAGAUGUUGAAUGAAAAAUGUAAAGAAUAUUAAAAUAUAAUUAAUUUAAAAAUACUAUAUAUAUAUAUAUAUAUAACGUCAUGUCGUGCACAUGCGCAAAUAUUUGUAAAAUAAUAAAUUGAUAAGAAUAAGAAAAAUUAUUAAUAAAUUAUAAAGAGUAAAAAAUCCUAAAGUAAGGAUGAAAAUCAAUAAUUUGUUAUCAAUUGUAAAAAAUAUGUGGAAGUUGUAUUUUGUGUCUUUUAACGGUCAGGAAGCCUGAAUACGUUAUUUUUAAGCACGGAGAGCAAAAAUUGGGUGUCAACAACUACGCGUGACCUGAUUCUCCCCUCUCGGAGGUGAGAUACGUAGGCUGCCCUAUUUUGGGAUCGUCCAACCAAAUAAAUAAUUUAGAAUCACCCAAUCAAAAGAAACUGGGGCAUGAUUUAAUCCUCGUUGUUUAAGUCGAUUCCAAAAGUUGUAAGUCCCACCCUACUUCAAGUGUCGUUUGGGCCUCAUGUCAUCUUUUUCUUCUAACCUUAUUCAAAAGCCAAGCUACAACCAAAGAAAGACCUUCAGAUCAAUCUUUGAGAAUGUUAAGACUAAGCAUGCAAUGAAUGAGAUGACACAUUUUAGGAACUACUUGUUUACCUCAGCAAUAAGAAUCGGAAUGAGAGAGUCUUAUUGGUGAAAACCCUCACGGGUACCGUAAGGCGAUGGUAAGUUGAGAGAAAUAAAAAUGAGAGUCUUAUUGGUGAAAACCCUCACAGGCACCAUAAGACGACUGUGAGUUGAGAGAAAUGAAAAUAAGAGAGUCUCAUUGGUGAAAAAACCUCACGGACAUAAAGGCAAUGGUGAGCUGAGAGAAAGGCAGAGGCUUGUUGGCGAAAAACCUUCAAGGCGCCACUAGCCGAAUGAGAUCUAAAUACAAUUGACCUAAGGAAGCAACUCAGUUUUGAGGCCAUUAACUCAAAAACAAUUGGUAGGAAGUUUGGAUGAAAAGGUCAAGCUGCUUAAUCCAAAAUGCAUGGCAUAUUCAUUAGAGUUGAUUGUCAUUUUUAGAUGAAUUUUUCAUUUCUUUGUUUUAAAGGGGGACAUUUAUUGUCGACAUUUAUUGUCUUUUCUUUCUUCUUUUUAUUUUUAUUUUAUUUUCUUUGGUCAGUUGUCCAAAUAAAAAUCAUUGUCAUUUUUAUCUUGUCUUGGAGUCAAGUCCAUGUCAAAACAAGUGAGAAAAGAUUUCAAAACUGCCUACCAGCUUCUUUAAUUGCACAAAGCAAGACAAAAGGGUCAGUACAUGAAAAAGACAUGAUUGUGAGCCGAAAUAAGGCAUACAAAAUUUUGUCAACAGACAAGUCUGGGAACUUAUGGAAAUACAAAAGAUCAAAGGGUUUAUCUGAAAAGCAUGGCAAAGCAGAGAUACUGUGUUUGUUUCAGAGUCGCUCUUAAUAAUCUGAGUUUGGGUCAAUGAUGCAGCAAGUCAAUGGCAUAUGCUAAUGGUUGGAAGCAAGGUUAAAUGUGACCGGGGCAAGAGCGAUUGCCGCGAAAGCUAAAGACACAAACCAGCCACCAUGUUUUUAAACUAACAAGUUUUUUUUUUGUAUGAAACAGGAACACAUGUUACCUUCAAAUCGAGAAUUUCAAAGCCUAAACAUCAAAAGUUGCAAUGCUCACCUACACAAAUGCAGGAGAUAAUAUUGUUGCACAGGUUUGGUAAUCAAAACCAUGGUAAAACUCAUCAUCCAAUAUCUCUAGGAGACACACUUCCUUGUUUGGAUAAUUCAAGAGACAUUUGUAAGGAGAUGCACUUCCUUGUUGGGCAAUGCAAGUGACAUUUGUAAGGAGACACACUUUCUUGUUUUGGUAAUUCAAGCAGCAUUUGUAAGGAGAUGCACUUUCACAUUUGGGUAUCUCAAGCGGUAUUUGUAAGGAGAUUCACUUCCUUAUUUGGUAAUUCAAGCAACAUUUGUAAGGAGACGCACUUCCUUGUUUGGGUAAUUCCAGCAACAUUUGUAAGGAGACACACUUCUUUGUUUGGUAAUUUAAGCAACAUUUGUAAGGAGACAGACUUUCUUGUCUGGAUAAUUUCAGCAACAUUUGUAAGGAAACGUAUUUCCUUGUUUGGGUAAUUCCAGCAACAUUUGUGAGGAAACACACUUCUUUAUUUGGUAAUUCAAGCGGUAUUUGUAAGGAGACACACUUUCUUGUUUGGGCAAUUCAAGCAACAUUUGUAAGGAGACACACUUCCUUGUUUGGGCAAUUCAAGUGACAUUUGUGAGGAGACGCACUUCCUUAUUUUGGUAAUUUAAGCGGCAUUUGUAAGGAUACGCACUUUCUUGUUUGGGUAAUUUAAGAGACAUUUGUUAAGAGAUGCACUUCCAUGUUUUGAUAAUUCAAGCGACAUUGGUAAGGAGACACACUUCCUUAUUUUGGUAAUUCAAGCGGCAUUUUUAAGAAGACGCACUUUCUUGUUUAGGUAAUUCAAAAUACAUUUGUUAGGAGACGCACUUCCUUGUUUUGGUAAUUCAAGCAACAUCUGUAAGGAGACGCACUUUCUAAUUUGGGUAAUUCAAGCGACAUUUGUAAGGAGACGCACUUUCUUGUUUUGAUAAUUCAAGAUACAUUUGUUAUGAGAUGCACUUUCUUGUUUUGGUAAUUCAAGCAACAUCUGUAAGGAGACGCACUUCCUUAUUUGGAUAAUUCAAGCGGCAUUUGUAAGGAGAUGCACUUCCUGAUUUUGAUAAUUCAAGCAACAUUGGAGCCCGCCCAAAGCACAGGGUGAAUAAAUGGAAGGUCAAAUAAAAAGGUGAAGAAAUUGAAAGUCAAAAAAUUGAAAAAUAGCAAGUCAGGAGCCCACCUGGAGAUCAGGUUGAAGAAAUUGAAAGUCAGGCAACACGUUGAAGAAAUUGCAAGUCAGGAGCCGGCCUGAAGAAUAGGGGGAUGAAACUCAAGUCAAGAGUCCAAAAGAAGCUACAUAGAUAGGAUUUUUGUAAUUUUAUUUAUGUUUUAACUUGUAAUUUUUUAUUUUUGAUGUAAUGACAGAGUCGUGGACCGAAACCUCGAUGGGACCUCACUCGACUCUCCAACUCGGUAUAGUCUCUCUUCUUCCAACCCUUUGAGAUACAUGUAACUUGAUUCCCUCAUAACUUGGGUAGAAAGGACGUCCUAAGACAAGACUUGGUUGCCUUUUUUCUUUCUGUUUCGUUCCUUGAAUAAUGGUUGGGUCAAAAUUUUGUCUCGUUAUCUACUUUUUUUUUCUGAAAACACUUUGUGUUUGCACCCAAAAAGGGGCAUGAUUUAGACACCUAAUUUUGCCCCUCCCAAAACCCAAUUCAUCUAUUUUUACCACACAUUAUCAUACACUCUCACCCAUGUGAUUACACCCCACAAAAAUACAAAAAAAAUUAACAGCCCUUAACAAAUCUCUAACAAACUUUAUCUUGUUUUAAUCAUCCUAACAACCUACCCUUACUCCACCCCUACCCCACCUCACCCACAUAACCACUCCUCCUCCACAUUUCUUUUCCACAAAGGAAAAUAGCAUAUACACACACAAAUUCCAUCCAAUUGGUGACCCACAGUGAAGAAAAACAUAUACAAAAGGCCAUUCCAUUUUUUCCUUUCUUCUUGACCAAUUCAUAUAUACACAGAACAAACAAAAUACAAAAAUAAAUACCUCACGCCAUUAAAAAGGGACAACACACACCUGGCCAUUCGAACAAAAACCUCACUGAAAUACUCACAGAGGGAGAGCACACUGACCCUCACGCACAUCACACACACACUCCAUUUUUCUUUUUCUUCUCUACCGAGAACACACACCCAGAUAUACACCAUUACACCACUCACACGGAGAUGGAAUACGUGCAUACUCUCACUGAUUGAAGGGGUCCCUAUUUUUUCAUUUUUCUUUAACAACGCACGACAACACCAUAGAGAGAAUACCCACAAAAAUAGAGAAAAGAAAACCCGAAUAAAACAUACUACAAAUUGAAACCUUACCGAAAAAGUUCACUCACUCAUAAAUAGCUCACCAUACGUACACACGUCGUGUAUAAACACACCACACACUGAAAAUAGAGAGUUGAGGGUGUGAUCGGAGUAAUUGAGAAAGUGAGAUUCGAGUGAGAGAGAUAUAAAAACAGAGAGGGGGAUCGAAAGAUUAAGAGCAAAGCACAAAGGAGAACCGACUGUGAAGGAGGGUGGUGCGAUCGAAUUUCGGCAAUGUCCACUGGAAUCGUGGUUUGGUUCGGUUUUGCCUGAAAUCAGGUUGGGCUUUGGGUUUAUUCGUCUUCGCGAUUCAUUUUCAAUAUUGUAAUUCUUGGGUUACUCUAUUCAUGCCCGUGGAAUUCUGUUCGGAUUGGAUUUUGUGAAUAUUCCGUGUUUGGAGUUCGAUUGAUAGUCGAGUCGGUAUUCGUUGAGGUUCUCGGGACAACUCUUUAUUCUCUUAUUCAAAUCAAUUGAAAGCGGCAUUGAGGUCCAAUUCUAUCUCAUUCUCACUUUGAUUUCAUUAUAUACGCGCGAUUGAUGGAUAUCAUCUCAAUUUUCUCUUUUUUUCGGUGUGAUGUGAUGAUUAAUGUGGAAUUAUUUGGUUGUGGAUUUUUGAAAAAAGGUAAUCAUGAACUGUUAUAUUGCAACCUUGAAUAAAAUUUGGGGGAAUUGAUAAUCUAAUAAGUAGAACGUUGAUUAGUUUUGAUUUAUUGUUGGAUAUUGUUGAAUUGAUAGUAGCAUGCUUUAGAUCGUUAAAUGUGUAGGAAAAUACUAAGUUUGGAUAGGCAAAUUGUAGAAACAGAAGAUGGUGACUUGUGGAAUGUGUGAAUAUUUGUUGAAUGGUUCUUUCUAUUUUAACGCACAAAAUUGAGGAUGUAUUCAUUUUGCCGGGGAAUGCCCCGAUGUACCAAAUAUCGUCAACAAUGAAAUAGAAAGAAUGAAAGAGUAGAAUUGGAUCUCAAAUGUUUCGAUUGUGGUUGCUCCUUUCGAUUAGAACCGUGUCCAAAGUCUCAAACUGAACCUCAAGAAUCAACAAGCUCAACUCGAUAUCGCAAGUCACCACCCAAACAGAUUUGAAACCAUCAAGCAAAUUCACUAUCAACUCUCGAAUCGAGGACUUCAAACAGAAAUAACAAACCCCAAAGAUGAAAUUUCAACCUCAAACCCCAAAAGUAAAAAAAAAACCCAGAUCGAAAUGAUUCAAUGAUAGACGACGACCCGAUUCCAACACAAAACCCACGAUAGACAGUGGACAAUACUCCGCUUGGUAUCGAGAAAUGAAGACCCAAAACAGACCACAACGAACCCAAAUCAAAGACAACGAACAACCCAAAUCCAAAAUGAAUCACAAAUCAAUAGCAAGAUUGCGAAUUCACAACCCAAAUUUAUUCAGACAGAUAUCGCAAAAACAAAGACCAACCCGAACCCAAUAUCGAUCUCCCUAAUCCUUCACUCACUGAUUUUUCCUAUCCACUGGUUUCUGCUUAUCUCCUUCGUUUCUCUCUCUCUCUUUGUUCUCUCUUAAUCCCCCGUCACUGGUAUGUGCGUGCGUUUUUGGGUGUAUUCGAAAAAAAAAGAAGAAAUGGGAAGGGAAUCGCGUCACCUCAUCUCCAAAGAAGGAGAAACCAACAAAAUGGCGUCACUGUGUAUCCAUCCCCCCUGGUUUUUGUAAGUGUGUAUGUAUAUAUAUGCUGUGGGAAUUCCUUGUAGUGAGAGUGUGGACGAUGGUGUCUCUCUAUGGAAGAUCAUCUAUGGUGUUCUUCCGAAAAAAAUGGUGGCUCUCAGUGUUGUGUUUUUUUCCCGAAAAAAAAAAGAAAAAGAAGCCCCCCCCCCCAAAAAUGUUUUCUCCUCUUGGUCUCUCCUUUUCACUGUAUCCAUUCUCCUCUUUAAUUUUAUUUUUUGCUUUUUCUUUAUAUUGUGUCAUAAUUGUAUGAAUAUCAUUGGUGGCUUGUGGGUAUAUGUGUGUGGUAUGUGUAAAAUUAGGUAUGACAUGUGGAAAGAUGAGUGUGGCGUGUGGCAAAAUGAGUAGGGCGAAUGAAAAAUAAGGGGUGAGGUAUUGAGGUGACAUGGUGAAGUGGAUGCAAAUAGAAAUAAAAAUAAAAAUAGAAUAAAAAUAAAAUAAAUAAAAUAAAAAUAAAAAUAGAAAUAAUUAAAAUAUUUUUUUUGGGAUGGACAAAAUUACGUGUCUAUAUAUUGUCCUGUAUCAGUCUGUUUAGCACAAAAACAACUUGACUUGGAUCUAUUAGUGAUACGAGUACGACCACGAGGAUGCACGUAUGUGAGAAUGCAUUGGACCCGUCCAAUAAAGCAUCCAAUUCAGUGUGGAGAAGACCUUGUAUCACACCAAAACCGACCCUAAACUUGCACUCCAAGGGCGCGCUUUUCAUUAAAGGGACCUUUUGGUCAUUUUACCUAUUAUUUGUAACAUACUAUAAAUAGAAUAAUGUAGGGUUUUAGUCAUUAGUUUUGAUGAAUAUUAAAAGUUGUAGACACUUAGACAUUUCUCUCUUGUGAGAAAGGCCCCUAUGGCCAAACAUUGUAACUAGGGAUUUCAACUUGAGUGUGGAAUCACUUGUGUUGGAUUCAAGCUUGGAAAUGUUGGAUGCUUGGGAGAUCGAGGUCCCUCUUGUGCCACGNNNNNNNNNNNNNNNNNNNNNNNNNNNNNNNNNNNNNNNNNNNNNNNNNNNNNNNNNNNNNNNNNNNNNNNNNNNNNNNNNNNNNNNNNNNNNNNNNNNNNNNNNNNNNNNNNNNNNNNNNNNNNNNNNNNNNNNNNNNNNNNNNNNNNNNNNNNNNNNNNNNNNNNNNNNNNNNNNNNNNNNNNNNNNNNNNNNNNNNNNNNNNNNNNNNNNNNNNNNNNNNNNNNNNNNNNNNNNNNNNNNNNNNNNNNNNNNNNNNNNNNNNNNNNNNNNNNNNNNNNNNNNNNNNNNNNNNNNNNNNNNNNNNNNNNNNNNNNNNNNNNNNNNNNNNNNNNNNNNNNNNNNNNNNNNNNNNNNNNNNNNNNNNNNNNNNNNNNNNNNNNNNNNNNNNNNNNNNNNNNNUUUCUAGUGUUAGUUUUCUUCAUCUCUAACACUCUUGAGUCUAAAUAUAAGUUUGAGCUUACAUUGUUGGUGUUGUUUUUGUGAACAUAAGGCGUGGCCGAAUUGUUGUUGAAACAUUGUUGUGGUGGACUGUUUUGGCCUUGUGGUCUUCAUCUUGCUGUUGUUCUAAGCUUGGCCACGUGAUAUUGUUGUUCAUUGGUGGCCCAAGAACCAUUUUGUUGAAAUUGUAGUUGUCUUGGCCAAGUGUUAAAGAUAUUGUAUUGUGAAAAUUGGAAGUUGGUCGUGUGACAAUUGUCGUAUUUUUGUGUAGACACGUGAUUUUUGACCCUCCCCGAGUUUUAACCUAUUUAUCGGAAUUAAAUAUUUUAUUCGCUUUGAUAUUAUUUUAAUUCUUAUUUUAUUUUUAAUAAAUUUUUAGUUAAAAAUAAAUAAAUAAAGUUAUAUUUUGAUAUAUUUUUUAUUUAUUUUAUUUUUAUUUUAAAAAUAAUACAAAAAAGAAAUUCAAAAAUAUAUUUCAUUAUUUUUAAAUAAAUAGACUACUAGUUUUAGUAUUACCUUAAUUAUAGUUAUUUUAAAUUAUAGUAUUUUCUUAAAAUAUAAAAAAUAAUAUUCUUUUAUUUGUAUUAUUUAUUAAAAAAAAAAAGAAGAUAAAUCUUAUCCUAUGAAACUACCCUAACCACCCCCGUAAUUUCUCUCAACCUCCCUCUACUUCCCAACCCCCUACACCCUGUAUAUUGUCACACACACGAAAAAAAAAAAGAGAACACUCAUGGACAAAAAACAAAAGGGAGAGGAACAUAUUUUUAAAAAGUGGAGGAAAUAUUUGAAAAACAAGAAAACAAAAACAAGGAGAAAAACAAAAAAUCAGUAGUGAAGACAAGAAAGAAGGAAGAAAAAAAAAAGUAGUGGAUUGAGUUCAGGUUUCGUUUCAGUUUUUGGUGAUAUCGAUCGUAAUCCUAUACUAUUUACUGUAUAAAUUCUAUUGUGAAUCAAAGCAUAAGUGCAGAUAUUUAAAUAGUGUCAUGCGUUACUUAAUGUUUAGAACCUUUCUUAUUAUCGUAUGCUAUUUGUUUAUGAUUAUCUUUGUACAGUAUUAAUGAUAUGAUAUUUGUAUUUGACUAAUUGUAUACAGAUUUUUGGUUAAAUAUAUUUCGUUAAUAUAGAUUUCUAUGUUUAGUUAUUUAUUAAAAUUAAAGAAGUUAAAGACCAUGUAUUAAAUCUUUUAUAAGUUUCAAACUCUAGGAAUUAUUUUGUUGAAUAAUCCGAUGAUUAACUGCAUGAAACGUAGUCAGGAAAAGUUGCUAGCUUUAUUUGUUCAUAUAUAUAUAUAUAUAUUUAUUUGUGAUCAAGAAUGAGAUAUCUUUUAUCUAAAUACAGAUCAAAAGUGAUAAAUUAGUAUGAACUGUGCAAUGCCAUAGUAGAUAGGAUCUAUAUUAUAUUCUUUCAUAGUAGAAUAUAAUUGAUAUAUAGCAAAAUAUGACAAUUCAUGUGUUUCCAAGAGUCGUUAAAUUUUGGCUUUUAUAUAUUAUUAAUUCUUCGUGGCCCAAUAAAUAUCAUUAUUUAAUUUGUUUAGAAAAAUAUUUUCCAUACAUUUAUCACCAAUAUAUUAUAGAGCAACGAGUAUAUAUAAAAUAAUAAACAUUUGAUAUUUUUGGUUAUGAUACAGUAAUAUUAGUUUUACUAACUUUCUACGUCAAGAAAGCAAGUUAUGUUAAUUACUAAAUAGAUAUAUAGUGGGACCGAUUGCAUCGAUAUAUUGAUUCAGUAAGUUAUUUAUUAUUCUUAAGAGUAUAAUCUAACUUGCCUUUAUGGUAUUAUUUAAAUUAUUCAACUUGUCAGUAAUUAAUUAGUAUGAGAUGAUUAAAUUGGAACUUGCCCUAGGCCUUCACAUUUUUCACAAUUUUUACUUUUUUCACGAAAUACCUUCUACUUUUACACUAUAUAGCCAUCUAGUAAUUGUAUAAAAGAAAACUUUUUGUAAGAUAAAAAGCGAAAAAGAAUAAUAUAAAUUGUUUCGAAUUUUCAAGAAACGGAACUAAUGUCUUUAACACUAGACAAAUUUUAGGCACGUUUAAAAUUUUCGUCUUAAUUAAGAAUGCGGCAUACGCAUCUUUCUGAGACAUUUAAAAUUCAAAGAUGUAAUAAUGCACUUUGAUAAAUAUUUUUCUAAAAAUUAAUUAACUCUCACCGAUUUAUUUAAUAUAAGAUAAUAGACAAGUUUUUUAGUAUAGUAAAAUGAGCGAUUUUAGGGCCUACUAACAUAAUCUGUCAAAAUAAUUUAUGUCAGGAUAAGUCAAUAAAAGCGACCGUGAUAGAACCACGGGAUUCGAGGGAUGCCUCAUACCUUCCCCUCGGUCAACAGAAUUUCUUACCCAGUCUUCUAUUUUUGCGGACCAAUAAAGAGUCAUUUCCUUUUGAUUAGGGAUUCAAAAAGGUGACUUGGAACACGAUAACUCAAUUCCAAGUGGAGACUCUGUAAAUAAAUUCAUCCCUAUUCAAAAUCGUCACUUAAAUUGAAAAAACCCUUCGACUCAACGCCCUCCGAGCGAAAAAGGGGUGUGACAUUUUGGAGAUUAUUGUUGGUUGUUCUUGGUGAUUGUUGAUGUUGUUCUUAAAGUUCUUCACAACCUUCAUAGCUUGUUAAUAUAAAGUGAACAUUAGAUCUAUAAAGGUGAAGGAAAAAGGGGUGAAGCUUUGUUAGUCUUGAAAGACUUCCCAUCACUCAUCAAAUAGUCAAUCAUAUAUCAACCACUUUUCAACAACUUUCCAUAAAAUAAGGGUCCAUGUUAUAAGGAAAAGUACAAGAAAGUCAAAGUCUUGAAAACUUGACUUUGAAAAUGCUUCAAGACUUGUUUGAAUUUCCCUUCUUAAAAUAAAUUCCACCAAUUCCUAAAUUGUAAAUUGACCAAGACUUGAAAUUGGACAACAACAACAAAAAAAAAUUGUUAGAAACCGCAACCAAUUACAUGCUGCCACAUCAUCAUUACUAUUGUUCACGCAACAUAUUUAAGCUCAAAUUUUAGAUUUCUUAGUUUCCUUUUAUUGUUCCUUAGUUCCAAUUUCGUUGGUUUCAAUACUAAUUGGCAAACUAGUACUCAUCUACUAGAUUUUAGUUAGUCUUUGUGUUCGUUCAUUCGUGUUAAAUGUUUGUUGUGUGCUUUUCACUUUUGUGAAUUCGUUGUAUCUUGUUGGUUCAAGUCCGUAAAUAAAUUUUAUUUGAGUCAACUCAAAUGAAAAUUCAUUUCGGACAAGAGUAGACUCGACCCUCAAUCACUCACGAAGUACAAGCCGGUUUUCAACAUUUCUAAAACCAAGUGUGAGGUAAAACCAAGAGUGAGAGUGUGGUGAGGCAUUUUGAACUAACAAGUUUGUUUUGUUGUUUGUUAUUGUACUUUGCUUUAGGUACAAUUGCUGCCACUAAUCUUGAUGUCACAUUUGAUCGUGAUACAAGUCAAAUGGCCACCUUAAUUUUUGAAGACAUAAUUGGAGGUCAUCAUUUAAAGGUUCAAGACUUGGUCACCCCGAUGACACAAGAAUAUACAAGGAAGACCCAUUUUGAGCACAAGCAAGGUUGUGUGUAGAAGAUUACUUGGAGCAUCGAAGACUUGAGGACUCACGAUUUUGGACAGCACUUAAUGGGUCAUGAUUUGGUUAUCUUGAUUAAGGGUAUUUUGGUCACUUCAUUGGGUCCAAAUGCACUCCAUGGCCACCCAACCUUUUAAGGGCAUUGUUGUUAUUUUGCCUUGUCUUGUAAUAGAAUAUAAAUAGAACAUUUUAGGUCAUUUUCUCGUUAGUUUUUCAUUGAUGUAAGACUUGAAACAUUAAACACCUUUAGUUGUCAAGCUUGGAAUAGCCACCCCCAUCGAAAUGAGGGCAACAAGUGUGGAUAUCACUUGUGUUGCAAUGUUGGCUUGAGACGUUGGUGUUUAAAGGAGGUAAAGUUCCUCUUGUGUCGACGUAGGAGUUAGGUUAACCGUUGUGUGUAGUGUUAAGGGUCCGAGAUUACCAUAUUCUUGGAUUCUUAAGAUUAUACCAAGCAAGGUCUAACUAUCUAUCCAUUUUAUUUAUGUUGUAAUCAUUUGUUUGUGUUCUUGUAAUUCAAAUCCGU
This 14432-nucleotide long non-coding RNA is filed under the name Capsicum annuum. RNAcentral describes it as "long non-coding RNA (CANN_LNC007618)". The record is from RNAcentral. Lineage: Eukaryota; Viridiplantae; Streptophyta; Magnoliopsida; Solanales; Solanaceae.